GGCCUUCUUUCUUCACCUUUUGCCCCCUAUAUUAAGGGUGCCGGUUCGCCGGCUAUGGAAAUAAAUGGCCGUCGCAAUAAACCAUUCGGACCCGGGGGCAG
RNAcentral lists this transfer-messenger RNA (101 nucleotides) under Proteobacteria bacterium SG_bin9. RNAcentral's name for it is "partial transfer-messenger RNA". It matches the Rfam family "Alphaproteobacteria transfer-messenger RNA", at positions 1 to 101 of the family's 355-position model. Rfam says of the family: Bacterial tmRNA, also known as 10Sa RNA or SsrA, is named for its dual tRNA and mRNA-like properties. Its role is to liberate the mRNA from a stalled ribosome. Lineage: Bacteria; Pseudomonadati; Pseudomonadota. The record is from RNAcentral.